AUAAGAAAAGUCUACCAUUUGGGACUUUCUUAGGCUAUCCACAUCAGCAUCUGUUCCAUGGUUAAUCCACAUCAGCUUUGGCGGUUACACUUCUCAAAAUUCUCACGCUCUCCUCUUUCUCUUCCAAAACGGUUUCUCCUCUUCUUUCAAAACCGGCACAUUCUCUUCACUCACCAUUCUCUUCAAUGCACGGUUACAUUACAUUGACUGUUUGUCUUCCCAUUUUCAAAACGAUUCAAUCUAUCUUCAAUUACCAUUCUCUUCAUCUCCAUUCAACUUUCACAACCGCCCAUAUCCACCUCUGCCUACUCCGCUCUAGAUCGAAACCAGCGUCGCCUGCAACUGCUGAUUUUGCCGUCGUAUCCCCAACACCGACGACUACACCACUGCCGCGCAUCUACAAUUGAAACAUGGGCUUAAUUAGAGGCUAAAAUCAGAAACAAAUGGAGGAUAGCAACAAACCGAAUUCCCAUCACAAGGGUCUCCGACCAAAAUCACCUAAGGGUCUUCGAACCGGUUAAAUCGGCACUGCUGAUAAAAAGAUAAGUGUAUUUACUUACAACUGUGGUAAAUCAAAGAAUGUUAAUCUGAUUGCCCCACUCCGAAGCCAACGUUCAAUUCAUCCAAUAGAAGAAUCAACAUAAUUCAGCAGUGAAGUCACAAUUGAUGUUGCAAUUGAAUACAAAUUUUGAUUUAGCAAUGUUUAAUGGAGAAAUCCUAUGUCAGAACAUGUAUUGCUCAAUCAGCGGGAACUGACGCUGGUGUUUCAGAGGAUGAUUCUUCUUUUGAUGACUUUUUUUAAUGUUGGCAAAUAGUUUAUGUUACUUCAGGCUCACAGUCUCCAACUUGAGGCCUUUUCAGUUUCCAAUAAGAGAUUAGAUCCCGGCUUGCCGAAACCUAAGCUCCAAUUUGUCAGCAGCUGUAGAAAUAAAUCAGAUGAAAAUAGACUACAAAUCUUAAAAGAGAAAUCAAUUGAGCUGAAUGUGAAUGAACAAGUGGAAUUCCACAAGAAUGUAACAUACAGGAAUGAGGAGUUCUUUUAUUCCUGACUGUCGUGUUAAUCUAUUUCUGAAUGUGAAAGCAGUUUAUUUUAUGAUCCCUUUGCCAAUAAAAUUUAUGAUUAUGCCAAUGGAAUUGCUGCUUUGAGGUCCUUAAAGCUAGAAACCAUGAUCCCAGCUCAGCUGUCAUUUAAAGAUUAUCCUGGGCGGAACUGAGUCAUACAACUGUUGUACCGAAUGAUCUCGGGGCUGAACAUAGUCAUACAAAUGUUGUACCGAAUGAUGCAGGGGCAAAACUGAAUCCUACAGCUGAUAUACCGAAUAUUGUAGGUGCUGGCUAAAAGCAUAUUAAGGGCGUGUGUGGAUCAACCGUAAGAUCGUAAACACCAUCGUGGAUUGAUGAAAUGAUGCAAGCUUGGCUUAGACUGCAUCUCUGCUGUUUUGAUGCUGCAUGUUUUGAUGCAAGCUUGGAAAAGGUUGUUGAUUUCGGUCUUUCGAGGUCAGGUCCAUGUUUCAUGGAAAUCAAACAACAAUGCCCACACAAAUCAGUACCUCUAAGCAAGUGCUAACAUGUUCUGGUGGCCAGUUUCGGUUAUAACGAUUCGAACUUUCUUGUGCGUGCAAAUCCGAGGAAGGUUCCAUGCAGUCGUCGCGAAAUAUAGCCCGGGAGGUAAAAUUCUACAGAUAUUAGAGGAUAACGAGGGAAAGGUUGUUAAAGAAGUGAGUUAAGUGGAGGAGAAGGAUGGUAAACUCUGGAUGGGAAGUGUUUUGAUGCCUGUCAUUGCAGUUUACCAUUUGACACGAAGCAUGUUGAAGAAAUUACAAGUUGGUUUUCCUCUAUUUGAUUAUGAUGUCAUGAAAAACAGACUACAAAAGUAGCACUAUCAUGAAAAAUAACAGCAAAAAAAGAUUGUAAACUUCGGUCUAUCAUUACUGGAAAACUCUUUUUAGAAUA
Long non-coding RNA from Vicia villosa (hairy vetch), 1953 nucleotides. RefSeq lists it as uncharacterized. The record is from RefSeq and is a predicted model, not a curated record. Lineage: Eukaryota; Viridiplantae; Streptophyta; Magnoliopsida; Fabales; Fabaceae. The transcript is spliced from 10 exons.